GGAUGUGCAGGAGCGCAUCCACCACAACACAAGGGGGUCGCCCGGGUCUCCCUGCCCGGGCGACUCUUCC
This 70-nucleotide non-coding RNA is filed under the name unclassified sequences. Its description in RNAcentral is "ftsZ-DE RNA". It matches the Rfam family "ftsZ-DE RNA". Rfam says of the family: Fibrobacter (Fibrobacteres). The record is from Rfam by way of RNAcentral.